This 461-nucleotide ribosomal RNA is filed under the name uncultured bacterium. RNAcentral's name for it is "bacterial SSU rRNA". It matches the Rfam family "Bacterial small subunit ribosomal RNA", at positions 8 to 502 of the family's 1533-position model. The record is from RNAcentral.
AGAGUUUGAUCCUGGCUCAGAACGAACGCUGGCGGCAGGCUUAACACAUGCAAGUCGGAGGUGAUGCAGGGCUUCGGCCCUGCGGAAACUGGCGCACGGGUGAGUAACGCGUGGGAAUCUACCCUGGGGUGGGGAAUAACCGCUGGAAACGGCGGCUAAUACCGCAUACGCCUUGAGAGGGAAAGCUUUAUGCGCCCUGGGAUGAGCCCGCGUCGGAUUAGCUUGUUGGUGAGGUAACGGCUCACCAAGGCUUCGAUCCGUAGCUGGUCUGAGAGGAUGAUCAGCCACACUGGGACUGAGACACGGCCCAGACUCCUACGGGAGGCAGCAGUGGGGAAUAUUGGACAAUGGGGGAAACCCUGAUCCAGCCAUGCCGCGUGCGUGAAGAAGGCCUUAGGGUUGUAAAGCGCUUUCGGCGGGGAAGAUGAUGACGGUACCCGCAGAAGAAGCCCCGGCUAACU